Protopterus annectens (West African lungfish) is the source of this 674-nucleotide long non-coding RNA. RefSeq lists it as uncharacterized. The record is from RefSeq and is a predicted model, not a curated record. The transcript has 3 exons. Lineage: Eukaryota; Metazoa; Chordata; Ceratodontiformes; Protopteridae.
GAGCAGAAACACACCAUCUAUUCUUGUUUUACAGUAUCAGAGGAAUCAAAACCUACAACUCCCAUCAGCUAGAAAAUUUACAAGAGUAACGUACCUGUAUGCUACUGGCUUUGUGCUGCUGCUUAAGAAAAGAUGACAAACUGGAUUCUGGCAACUAGAAAGCUUUCUCACACAUCUCUUACAGUUGUCUCCACUUACACUGCGCUACAGGCUAUGCUGACAUGACAGCUCAAGUUGUCAGGACAAUAGAACUUAAUGGGCAAGCUAUUAUGGACAGAUUACCAGCCCACUGCCAGAUAUAACAUGUGGCAUGCACACCUAUGGGCAAUUUGAAGGACUGCCAGUUCAACUAUGGGACACCUUGGCAGUGUGGCAACAGACUACUGGAUUUGAAAGAAACUCACAGAGACACAGGAAUGAAGUUCAGACUGCACACAGAAGGCACCGAAAGUAUGGGGAGCCACCUGCUCUGAGACACCAAUGUGUAUUUUUUUUGCAUUUCUAAGAAUGCCUUGAUCAUUCAUUUACUUUCAUGGAAUUUCUCAUGCCUUUUCCAUACAAUCUGCAUAGGCUGCUGUUCAAUUCAUUCACCUUACAUACUUUUUAUCUUAAGUAAGCUUGUAAAAUACUAAUUCCACAUGCUUAUUAAAAUGAAUGUUUACUCAACAGAUAUU